RNAcentral lists this transfer RNA (79 nucleotides) under Anguilla anguilla (European eel). RNAcentral's name for it is "tRNA-OTHER". Lineage: Eukaryota; Metazoa; Chordata; Actinopteri; Anguilliformes; Anguillidae. The record is from RNAcentral.
GGCAGUGUAGCAUAAUGGGCAAGGAGUUGGUCUUUUAACCUAAAGGUCGCAGGUUCGAUUCCCCGGUAGGACAUUGCCG